RNAcentral lists this ribosomal RNA (440 nucleotides) under uncultured bacterium. RNAcentral's name for it is "partial 16S ribosomal RNA". It matches the Rfam family "Bacterial small subunit ribosomal RNA", at positions 338 to 795 of the family's 1533-position model. The record is from RNAcentral.
CCUACGGGCGGCAGCAGUGGGGAAUAUUGCACAAUGGGGGAAACCCUGAUGCAGCGACGCCGCGUGAGUGAAGAAGUAUUUCGGUAUGUAAAGCUCUAUCAGCAGGGAAGAAAAUGACGGUACCUGACUAAGAAGCCCCGGCUAACUACGUGCCAGCAGCCGCGGUAAUACGUAGGGGGCAAGCGUUAUCCGGAUUUACUGGGUGUAAAGGGAGCGUAGACGGUAGCGCAAGUCUGGAGUGAAAGGCCGGGGCUUAACCCCCGAACUGCUUUGGAAACUGUGCAGCUAGAGUGCAGGAGAGGUAAGUGGAAUUCCUAGUGUAGCGGUGAAAUGCGUAGAUAUUAGGAGGAACACCAGUGGCGAAGGCGGCUUACUGGACUGUAACUGACGUUGAGGCUCGAAAGCGUGGGGAGCAAACAGGAUUAGAUACCCCUGUAGUC